UCAUAUGUACAUACCUAAAAAAUUAAUGCACCAUAUCCCAUUAGAACUCCACAGUUAAGCAUGUUUGUACUAGAUUAGUAAUGGGAUGGGUGAUCUCUCGGGAAAUACUAGUGUUUUACAUGCU
This is a non-coding RNA of Picea glauca (white spruce), 124 nucleotides long. The record is from Rfam. Lineage: Eukaryota; Viridiplantae; Streptophyta; Pinopsida; Pinales; Pinaceae.